Long non-coding RNA from Penaeus monodon (black tiger shrimp), 993 nucleotides. RefSeq lists it as uncharacterized. Lineage: Eukaryota; Metazoa; Arthropoda; Malacostraca; Decapoda; Penaeidae. The transcript is spliced from 2 exons. The record is from RefSeq and is a predicted model, not a curated record.
UAGGUAACCGACCCGCAGUGAUGCCAAUCCAAAAGUCUUUGGUUAGAUCUGGCCGUAGAAUAUUUUUGCUGGUGGCUGAACGCAACAACAAAAUUCAGUCGUUUUAGCCUACAUGCAGUGUAAAUCAAUGAAGUUGUUAUUACUAUUGACAUAUAUGAGAACGGAGAAACGGUUUUCUUGAUGCAGUCCCAUGAUCGACAGCAAUAGAGUCUACAAUCACCCCUUGCUGUGUGUUGCGAAAGCUGACGCUCUCUUUGUUCACCUUUUGUGCUAAAUCAAUUAUAUCAAGAUGCCAGAAACAAGCCAAAUUUACGCAGAUGUUCAGAAAGCACUGGGUAACACAAAUUUAAAGUGAUGCAAACAGUGUUGGUUGCAAGUUUUGUCCAUCAGCGUUGAGAACAAAACUUUGACAAAAGUGGAUGCAAAAUGUAAAAUGCAUCUGGCAAACAGUGACACAUUCUCUAUUUUAAAGUUAAUUACCUCAUCUUCGGGGGACGUAGCCCCCCGAUGAUGAUUACUUCAAAGUUGCUCAAUGUUAACUUAAUAAAAGUAGAAAAUAGAAGGAAUGAGACGCAUUUAGCUUUGCUGUGAUUCUUGGCCACUGGCGCUGUCUGGUUCUGACAGAAAGUCUUCUUCCGCGACUUUCCUGCGCUGCCUUAGGGCGCGAGGGCUCGGCAACGCUGGGCGUUGGCAACGCUGCGGCCGCACCAAAGCAACCGCCGUGUCUUUGGGGGAAAAUCCAAAACCCUUAAAAGAAGAAAGAAGAAGACGACAUUGGGGAAACUCGUGUCUGAGCCUCCUGCAGAGUACGGGAUCUCAUCUCAAAGAGGGGACCUACUUACAUUUUCUGCUGCUUCAGUUCCCUCAGUAGCAGUGGCAACUGAUUAUUCUGUUGCAAAGAGCAAAAGUUCCAGGGCUGCACUUGAACAGUCUGUCAUUCAGGAUGGAUGCCUCCUCUGCCAUCCUCCCCAGCAUUGCCCUAAUUAGUGGUAA